AGUUGGGUAGCUGGGUCAAAUGGUGGUUCCAUUCCAAGUUUUCUGAGGAAUCUCCAUACUUUUUUCCAAAGUGGUUGUAUCAAUUUGCACUCCCACCAGCAAU
RNAcentral lists this microRNA precursor (103 nucleotides) under Marmota monax (woodchuck). Lineage: Eukaryota; Metazoa; Chordata; Mammalia; Rodentia; Sciuridae. The record is from RNAcentral.